GCCUUUGUGGUGUAAUGGUAGCACACUCGGCAUGUAUUCAAGAGGCCCAGGUUCAAGUCUCGGCAAGGGCA
Molecule: non-coding RNA, 71 nt
Organism: Stegodyphus mimosarum
Lineage: Eukaryota; Metazoa; Arthropoda; Arachnida; Araneae; Eresidae
Source: Rfam